Molecule: ribosomal RNA, 1046 nt
Filed under: Salmonella enterica
Lineage: Bacteria; Pseudomonadati; Pseudomonadota; Gammaproteobacteria; Enterobacterales; Enterobacteriaceae
Description: partial 23S ribosomal RNA
Rfam family: Bacterial large subunit ribosomal RNA
Source: RNAcentral
AGACCCGAAACCCGGUGAUCUAGCCAUGGGCAGGUUGAAGGUUGGGUAACACUAACUGGAGGACCGAACCGACUAAUGUUGAAAAAUUAGCGGAUGACCUGUGGCUGGGGGUGAAAGGCCAAUCAAACCGGGAGAUAGCUGGUUCUCCCCGAAAGCUAUUUAGGUAGCGCCUCGUGAAUUCAUCUCCGGGGGUAGAGCACUGUUUCGGCUAGGGGGCCAUCCCGGCUUACCAACCCGAUGCAAACUGCGAAUACCGGAGAAUGUUAUCACGGGAGACACACGGCGGGUGCUAACGUCCGUCGUGAAGAGGGAAACAACCCAGACCGCCAGCUAAGGUCCCAAAGUCAUGGUUAAGUGGGAAACGAUGUGGGAAGGCCCAGACAGCCAGGAUGUUGGCUUAGAAGCAGCCAUCAUUUAAAGAAAGCGUAAUAGCUCACUGGUCGAGUCGGCCUGCGCGGAAGAUGUAACGGGGCUAAACCAUGCACCGAAGCUGCGGCAGCGACGCUGAUGCGUUGUUGGGUAGGGGAGCGUUCUGUAAGCCUGCGAAGGUGGCCUGUGAGGGUUGCUGGAGGUAUCAGAAGUGCGAAUGCUGACAUAAGUAACGAUAAAGCGGGUGAAAAGCCCGCUCGCCGGAAGACCAAGGGUUCCUGUCCAACGUUAAUCGGGGCAGGGUGAGUCGACCCCUAAGGCGAGGCCGAAAGGCGUAGUCGAUGGGAAACGGGUUAAUAUUCCCGUACUUGGUGUUACUGCGAAGGGGGGACGGAGAAGGCUAUGUUGGCCGGGCGACGGUUGUCCCGGUUUAAGCGUGUAGGCUGGUUUUCCAGGCAAAUCCGGAAAAUCAAGGCUGAGGCGUGACGACGAGGCACUACGGUGCUGAAGCAACAAAUGCCCUGCUUCCAGGAAAAGCCUCUAAGCAUCAGGUAACACGAAAUCGUACCCCAAACCGACACAGGUGGUCAGGUAGAGAAUACCAAGGCGCUUGAGAGAACUCGGGUGAAGGAACUAGGCAAAAUGGUGCCGUAACUUCGGGAGAAGGCACGCUGACA